GAAGAACGCUGGCGGCGUGCUUAACACAUGCAAGUCGAACGAAGUGGCGGACGGGUGAGUAACGCGUAAUCAACAUGCCCUUCAGAGGGGGACAACAGUUGGACACGACUGCUAAUACCGCAUACAGACGGAGGGGAUUGCGUCUGAUUCGCUAGUUGGAGGGGGAACGCCCCAACAAGGCGAUGAUCAGGAGCCGGUCUGAGAAGAUGGACGGCCACAAUGGGACUGGGAAACCGCCCAGGCUCCUACCGGAGGCAGCAGUGGGGAAUCUUCCGCAAUGGACGAAAGUCUGACGGAGCAACUCCGCGUGAGUGAUGACGGCCUUCGGGUUGUAAAGCUCUGUUAAUCGGGACGCGGUACCGGAAUAGAAAGCCACGGCUAACUACGUGCCAGCAGCCGUGGUAAUUC
Molecule: ribosomal RNA, 408 nt
Filed under: uncultured bacterium
Lineage: Bacteria
Description: partial 16S ribosomal RNA
Rfam family: Bacterial small subunit ribosomal RNA
Source: RNAcentral